Non-coding RNA from Gossypium raimondii (Peruvian cotton), 118 nucleotides. The record is from Rfam. Lineage: Eukaryota; Viridiplantae; Streptophyta; Magnoliopsida; Malvales; Malvaceae.
UAGUCACUGCGAUGUUGGCUCGGUUCACUCAGACAAUAAUCAAGCUCUACGCUUUAGAUAUAACUCUGCGUAGCUUACUGUGCUUUGAUUGAGCCGUGCCAAUAUCCUAGUGCCGUUU